GGGUGAGUAACACGUAUGCAACCUGCCCCUGUCAGGGGGACAACCCGCCGAAAGGCGGGCUAAACCCGCGUACAUGCCACCGGGGCAUCCCGGAGGCAGGAAAGGCUUCGGCCGGACAGGGAUGGGCAUGCGGCGCAUUAGGCAGUAGGCGGGGUAACGGCCCACCUAACCGACGAUGCGUAGGGGUUCUGAGAGGAAGGUCCCCCACACUGGUACUGAGACACGGACCAGACUCCUACGGGAGGCAGCAGUGAGGAAUAUUGGUCAAUGGUCGGGAGACUGAACCAGCCAAGCCGCGUGAGGGAGGAAGGUACAGAGUAUCGUAAACCUCUUUUGUCAGGGAACAAAGACUGGGACGCGUCCCCGGAUGAGUGUACCUGAAGAAAAAGCAUCGGCUAACUCCGUGCCAGCAGCCGCGGUAAUACGGAGGAUGCGAGCGUUAUCCGGAUUUAUUGGGUUUAAAGGGUGCGCAGGCGGUCUGUUAAGUCAGCGGUCAAAGCCCGGGGCUCAACCCCGGCCCGCCGUUGAAACUGGCAGUCUCGAGUUGGAGAGAAGUAUGCGGAAUGCGCGGUGUAGCGGUGAAAUGCAUAGAUAUCGCGCAGAACUCCGAUUGCGAAGGCAGCAUGCCGGCUCCACACUGACGCUGAGGCACGAAAGCGUGGGUAUCGAACAGGAUUAGAUACCCUGGUAGUCCACGCAGUAA
RNAcentral lists this ribosomal RNA (703 nucleotides) under uncultured bacterium. RNAcentral describes it as "bacterial SSU rRNA". It matches the Rfam family "Bacterial small subunit ribosomal RNA", at positions 104 to 805 of the family's 1533-position model. The record is from RNAcentral.